AUUGAACGCUGGCGGCAGGCCUAACACAUGCAAGUCGAGCGAGCGGCGGACGGGUGAGUAAUGUAUGGGGACUGCCCGAUAGAGGGGGAUAACUACUGGAAACGGUAGCUAAUACCGCAUACUAUCGGAUAACCCAUAUGGGAUUAGCUAGUAGGUGAGGUAAUGACUCACCUAGGCGACGAUCCCUAGCUGGUCUGAGAGGAUGAUCAGCCACACUGUGACUGAGAAACGGCCCAGAAUCCUACGGAGGCAGCAGGGGGGAAUAAUGCACAAUGGGGGCAAGCCUGAUGCAUCCAUGCCACGUGUAUGAAGAAGGCCCUAGGGUGGUAGAGUACUUUCAGUCGGGAUGGGUUACCGACAGAAGAAGCACCGGCUAACUCCGUGCCAGCAGCCGCGGUAAUUC
RNAcentral lists this ribosomal RNA (403 nucleotides) under uncultured bacterium. RNAcentral describes it as "partial 16S ribosomal RNA". It matches the Rfam family "Bacterial small subunit ribosomal RNA", at positions 30 to 526 of the family's 1533-position model. The record is from RNAcentral.